Molecule: ribosomal RNA, 208 nt
Filed under: Clostridioides difficile
Lineage: Bacteria; Bacillati; Bacillota; Clostridia; Peptostreptococcales; Peptostreptococcaceae
Description: partial 23S ribosomal RNA
Rfam family: Bacterial large subunit ribosomal RNA
Source: RNAcentral
UAGUCGGGACCUAAGCUGAGGCCGAAAGGCGUAGGUGAUGGACAACAGGUUGAUAUUCCUGUACUACCGAUAACCGUUUGGGAGAAGGGAUGACACAGUAGGAUAAGCUAAGCACACUGUUGGUUAUGUGUGCCCAAGCAUUGAGGCAGUCAAAGUAGGCAAAUCCGCUUUGAUAAUGCUGGGAUGUGAUGGGGAGCGAAAUUUAGUA